AACGAACGCUGGCGGCAUGCCUAACACAUGCAAGUCGAACGGGAUCCUAGCUUGCUAGGUGAGAGUGGCGGACGGGUGAGUAACACGUGGGAAUCUGCCUUUUGGUUCGGGAUAACCGCGGGAAACUGCGGCUAAUACCGAAUGCCCUCGAGAGAGGAAAGAUUUAUCGCCAGAAGAGGAGCCCGCGUCCGAUUAGGUAGUUGGUGGGGUAAAGGCCUACCAAGCCGACGAUCGGUAGCUGGUCUGAGAGGAUGAUCAGCCACACUGGGACUGAGAUACGGCCCAGACUCCUACGGGAGGCAGCAGUGGGGAAUAUUGGACAAUGGGGCAACCCUGAUCCAGCAAU
RNAcentral lists this ribosomal RNA (346 nucleotides) under uncultured bacterium. Its description in RNAcentral is "bacterial SSU rRNA". It matches the Rfam family "Bacterial small subunit ribosomal RNA", at positions 29 to 395 of the family's 1533-position model. The record is from RNAcentral.